Molecule: ribosomal RNA, 484 nt
Filed under: uncultured bacterium
Lineage: Bacteria
Description: partial 16S ribosomal RNA
Rfam family: Bacterial small subunit ribosomal RNA
Source: RNAcentral
AUUGAACGCUGGCGGCAUGCUUUACACAUGCAAGUCGAACGGCAGCGCGGGCUUCGGCCUGGCGGCGAGUGGCGAACGGGUGAGUAAUACAUCGGAACGUGCCCAGUAGUGGGGGAUAGCUCGGCGAAAGCCGGAUUAAUACCGCAUACGACCUGAGGGUGAAAGCGGGGGAUCUUCGGACCUCGCGCUAUUGGAGCGGCCGAUGGCAGAUUAGCUAGUUGGUGGGGUAAAGGCCUACCAAGGCGACGAUCUGUAGCUGGUCUGAGAGGACGACCAGCCACACUGGGACUGAGACACGGCCCAGACUCCUACGGGAGGCAGCAGUGGGGAAUUUUGGGCAAUGGGCGAAAACCUGAUCCAGCAAUGCCGCGUGUGUGAUGAAGGCCUUCGGGUUGUAAAGCACUUUUGGCGGGAACGAAAAGGACUGUGCCAAUACCACGGUUGGAUGACGGUACCCGCAGAAUAAGCACCGGCUAACUACGUG